This is a long non-coding RNA of Monopterus albus (swamp eel), 733 nucleotides long. RefSeq lists it as uncharacterized. The record is from RefSeq and is a predicted model, not a curated record. Lineage: Eukaryota; Metazoa; Chordata; Actinopteri; Synbranchiformes; Synbranchidae. The transcript is spliced from 4 exons.
AAGCCCUCCAGUUACAGCCUCGUUCAGGUGAUUGACAACUGUGAUGAUUGGGAAUCCCUGCCUGAAUCAACUGCACCUGCUCACCUCACAUCCCCAGCCAUAUUGUAGUUCCUCUUGUGCAUAUGCAGCCUCACGAAGGCAUCAGCAGCCAGAGGCUGGAAAGAAGGGAAGAAACUGAUUUGCAUAGCUGCUGCUUAAGUGACUUUUUCUACAAAUGAGGUCAUUGUGGAGCAGCCAGUGACGGGCUGAGGCUGAAGGAGCGCUAGUUCAGGAUCACAGGAUCUCUGGAGCAGCGGAGACUCGUCAGAGUCCGAUCACUGCUGCAGCCCCGCUUACAGCCCCGCGCACAGCCUGCUCCAAUAAGCCCGCAUGGACAUACCAACACCACGCACCUCUAAAAGCUUCAGCACAGCGCCCUGGUCUCGCCUGAGGGGGGAAAAGUCUACAAGAUCACUUUCUUGGCUCCUCUGAGAGAAACGCUGACGCUUCCCCGGGUCUACCUGCUCGCCCAGCACCCAUGAAUUCAGAUAAAAAUGUGUACCUCGGCAGAGACAAAGGCAUCAUGCGGAAGAGAGCCCUGCUCCUUAGGAAAGGUUGCAGCUUCGAGAUUACCAGGUAGGUGAAGAGACUAACGGUUUUGUCUUGGGCGAGAAGACGAUCAGAAUUGCUAUAACUGCACUCUUAAAGUGCCACUUUACAUGAGGCCAAACAGUGAGUUUCUAACGGGUGUCCU